RNAcentral lists this ribosomal RNA (563 nucleotides) under Niveoporofomes spraguei. RNAcentral's name for it is "SSU rRNA". It matches the Rfam family "Bacterial small subunit ribosomal RNA", at positions 374 to 940 of the family's 1533-position model. The record is from RNAcentral. Lineage: Eukaryota; Fungi; Basidiomycota; Agaricomycetes; Polyporales; Fomitopsidaceae.
CUCGCAAGAGUGAACUAGCUAACUGAAAUCACUAAUUGAUUAGUUUCAAGGUGAUGUGGUAAGGGAAAAUAAUGAUAUUACCUUAUUUAUAGUGUUGUCUAAAUCUGGUGCCAGAAGACUCGGUAAGACCAGAAACGCAAACGUUAGUCAUUAUAUUUAGGCGUAAAGGGUUUGUAGGCUGCUUUUAAAAUUAGGAACUUUUACUAUUGGUUAAUUUUAUUAAUCUAAAAUUAAGAUGAUAGAAACGUGUUAAAAUUAAUAGCUAGAAUCAAAAAGAAGUUAAAAAGUAUAAUACUUAGAGUAGGGCUAAUAUCCGGAAAACCUAGGUGGAAUACUAAAGGUGUAAACAACUAACUAUUAAUGAUUGACGCUGAGAAACGAAGGUGAGGAUAGGAAAUAGGAUUAGAUACCCCGGUACCCCUCUCUGUAAACGAUGAAUGGUAGUUAUUAGUACAAUAUUAUUAGUAGCAAAGCUAACGCGUUAACCAUUCCGCCUUGGGAGUACGACUGCAAAGUUGAAAACAAAAAAAUUAGUCGGUCUCGGAGCAAACGGAAUGAAGCAU